Molecule: long non-coding RNA, 461 nt
Organism: Tachysurus vachellii
Lineage: Eukaryota; Metazoa; Chordata; Actinopteri; Siluriformes; Bagridae
Exons: 3
Source: RefSeq, a predicted model, not a curated record
ACAGUGAUGACCUGAAAUACCAAAGCUUGUUCAGGUGGUAGCUGGUUAUUUAUCAUAAAUCUUAGUCGAGUCAAGUUAUUUAUCAUAAGAAAUCUCUCCAGUGAAGGCACUCAAGCGAUACUCCGAAUCUUUCGCUCGUCUCCUUUCUGCAAGUUCCAUCUGCAGAUGUUUUACCUUUGCACAGGGAGAAAGAAGUGAGCCUCUGGGUCGUCUGCGCCUCUGCUGCAUCAUCUGAACAUGAGUCCUGAUGCGUUGCUCAAGCUCCCGGUCCCUUGCCUCCCUUAGGGCACACACAACAGGCAAAAAUACAAAUGAACACACACCUCACUGACUGCUCAACUUGUAGCGGAGGAAUUAAUCGCACUCAGUAUUUUCCUUUCCUGCAUGAUCUUGGCCUGGUUUCUCCAGUGCUGCAACAGCUCCUCGUUUCUAAGACAGACACACACCCCAGAGAUAAGGUG